Molecule: transfer RNA, 76 nt
Filed under: Paracoccaceae bacterium
Lineage: Bacteria; Pseudomonadati; Pseudomonadota; Alphaproteobacteria; Rhodobacterales; Paracoccaceae
Description: tRNA-Ala
Rfam family: tRNA
About the family: Transfer RNA (tRNA) molecules are approximately 80 nucleotides in length. Their secondary structure includes four short double-helical elements and three loops (D, anti-codon, and T loops).
Source: RNAcentral
GGGGGCUUAGCUCAGCUGGGAGAGCACCUGCUUUGCAAGCAGGGGGUCGCCGGUUCGAACCCGGCAGCCUCCACCA